GGGUGACGAGCGGCGGACGGGUGAGUAAUGUCUGGGAAACUGCCUGAUGGAGGGGGAUAACUACUGGAAACGGUAGCUAAUACCGCAUAACGUCGCAAGACCAAAGAGGGGGACCUUCGGGCCUCUUGCCAUCAGAUGUGCCCAGAUGGGAUUAGCUAGUAGGUGGGGUAACGGCUCACCUAGGCGACGAUCCCUAGCUGGUCUGAGAGGAUGACCAGCCACACUGGAACUGAGACACGGUCCAGACUCCUACGGGAGGCAGCAGUGGGGAAUAUUGCACAAUGGGCGCAAGCCUGAUGCAGCCAUGCCGCGUGUAUGAAGAAGGCCUUCGGGUUGUAAAGUACUUUCAGCGAGGAGGAAGGCAUUGUGGUUAAUAACCGCAGUGAUUGACGUUACUCGCAGAAGAAGCACCGGCUAACUCCGUGCCAGCAGCCGCGGUAAUACGGAGGGUGCAAGCGUUAAUCGGAAUUACUGGGCGUAAAGCGCACGCAGGCGGUCUGUCAAGUCGGAUGUGAAAUCCCCGGGCUCAACCUGGGAACUGCAUUCGAAACUGGCAGGCUAGAGUCUUGUAGAGGGGGGUAG
This 582-nucleotide ribosomal RNA is filed under the name Enterobacter sp. EB223. Its description in RNAcentral is "bacterial SSU rRNA". It matches the Rfam family "Bacterial small subunit ribosomal RNA", at positions 86 to 664 of the family's 1533-position model. The record is from RNAcentral. Lineage: Bacteria; Pseudomonadati; Pseudomonadota; Gammaproteobacteria; Enterobacterales; Enterobacteriaceae.